UUUAAUUGGGCAAUUGCUAAUUAAUCAAAUCAAAAGCCAUGGAAAAUCUCAAAAGGGCAUUUGUAUUUGCAAUAUUUUGUAUCAUCUUAGCAAAUUUUAUUGAAGCAAAUAUUGUUGAAAGUAAACUUUCAUGCCAUGCCUUAUGCAGACUUGCAUGUUUAAGUUCUCCUCAACCUGCUGUUUGCAAUAGUGAAUGUGAGAAAAGAUGUAAAAUUCAUAGUGUUUAUGAAGCUAUGAUUCAUAACACUAGUUGUUAUGAGCGAUGCUCCGUCAUCACAGAUAAAAAGAAACUAGAAGGCUGCUUUGAUGAUUGUACAACCAAAUAUUACAAAGUCAAAAGGAGUAUUAUAAAUUAAUGCUACUAUAUAUAUUUAAUUUGCAUCAUCCAACCAACUUUAUGAAUACUAUGUUAUGAUUAUGAAGAACUAUAUUUGUUUCUAAUGUAAUUGACUUUACCUUUUGGUGUUCUAAUCUUUUCCAAUUUCUUUUUUAA
This is a long non-coding RNA of Capsicum annuum, 493 nucleotides long. RefSeq lists it as uncharacterized. The transcript has 2 exons. Lineage: Eukaryota; Viridiplantae; Streptophyta; Magnoliopsida; Solanales; Solanaceae. The record is from RefSeq and is a predicted model, not a curated record.